GACGAACGCUGGCGGCGUGCUUAACACAUGCAAGUCGAACGGAAAGGCCCUGCUUUUGUGGGGUGCUCGAGUGGCGAACGGGUGAGUAACGCGUGAGUAACCUGCCCUUGACUUUGGGAUAACUUCUGGAAACUGGGGCUAAUACCGGAUAGGAGCUCCUGCUGCAUGGUGGUGGUUGGAAAGUUUCGGCGGUUGGGGAUGGACUCGCGGCUUAUCAGCUUGUUGGUGGGGUAGUGGCUUACCAAGGCUUUGACGGGUAGCCGGCCUGAGAGGGUGACCGGCCACAUUGGGACUGAGAUACGGCCCAGACUCCUACGGGAGGCAGCAGUGGGGAAUAUUGCAAAAUGGGCGGAAGCCUUAUGCAGCAACGCCGCGUGCGGGAUGACGGCCUUCGGGUUGUAAACCGCUUUCGCCUGUGACGAAGCGUGAGUGACGGUAAUGGGUAAAGAAGCACCGGCUAACUACGUG
Molecule: ribosomal RNA, 468 nt
Filed under: uncultured bacterium
Lineage: Bacteria
Description: partial 16S ribosomal RNA
Rfam family: Bacterial small subunit ribosomal RNA
Source: RNAcentral